GAAAUGCGAUAAGUAAUGUGAAUUGCAGAAUUCAGUGAAUCAUCGAAUCUUUGAACGCACAUUGCGCCCGCCAGUAUUCUGGCGGGCAUGCCUGUUCGAGCGUCAUUUCAACCAUCAAGCCCCCGGGCCUGUGUUGGGGACCUGCGGCUGCCCGCAGGCCCCGAAAACCAGUGGCGGGCUCGCUGUCACCCCGAGCGUAGUAGCAACACCUCGCCCAGGGAGUGCCGCGGGUUCCGGCCGUAAAACCUCGCCCUCGCGGCGAGAACACCCCCCCCCCAAGGUUGACCUCGGAUCAGGUAGGAAGACCCGCUGAACUUAAGC
Molecule: unclassified non-coding RNA, 321 nt
Filed under: plant metagenome
Description: partial contains 5.8S ribosomal RNA, internal transcribed spacer 2, and large subunit ribosomal RNA
Rfam family: 5.8S ribosomal RNA (bases 1-105)
Source: RNAcentral